RNAcentral lists this unclassified non-coding RNA (731 nucleotides) under Hevea brasiliensis (rubber tree). The record is from RNAcentral. Lineage: Eukaryota; Viridiplantae; Streptophyta; Magnoliopsida; Malpighiales; Euphorbiaceae.
UUUUAAAGUACAAAAGUAUUAAUCAUAAUACAAUAAAAUAAAAUGUUGCAGAGGUUGAUGUUCAAAUUAUGACCAUCUCUCUAAAUGGUUCAUGCCAAACUCUAACAAUUACAAUCAAACUCAAUCAUUGACUAAAGACAAUCAGACCCAUAACUGAAUAAUUAGAAUAGUAUUGUUUCAGCAAUCAUGAAAACCAUAAAUUCAUACUAUGAUGUUAAAAUAUUAAUUUGAUAAUAUUAUUCACCAACACAAUCUCCCUUUAAGCAAACACUAUGAAACUAUCACACCCAGCUUCUUUGUAUAUGAAUACAAGAAAAUGCCCCCAUUACAUUAUAGCAAGCUUGCAUGAAUUUGCAGAUGCUUCACUAUCAUAAGUUCAAGUGGACCCAACACGUUGUUCAGAGCAUGAAGAAACCAAGGAAAAGAGAGUAACCAAGAAAGGAACCAAUUAGAUGGAAGGAGGAUAAUUGAGUUCGGUUAGAAGAAGAUUUGGGACGAGCACUUCGUGGAGCAAAGCGAGCCCUUCUUUUGAUGUGAAUCCCAAGUUUUCGAGUAUGAAAUGAACCAAGGUCAUUGUCUGCUACUGCUAAUUGUCCACCAUGGUGAUUGAGGACGACGCCUACAUUAGCUGAACUUGGAAGAGAUUGAGACAACAAGAGGAGGCUAAUGACAAGGAAUGAGAAUAUCUGAGCCAUUUUCGCAAGCAAAGUUUGAGUAAGGUUGGAGGAAAG